Molecule: non-coding RNA, 83 nt
Organism: Zopfochytrium polystomum
Lineage: Eukaryota; Fungi; Chytridiomycota; Chytridiomycetes; Chytridiales; Chytridiaceae
Source: the annotation of a GenBank genome assembly
ACCCGUGUAGCAAAGUGGUAUUGCGUCUCCCUUCUAUCCCGUCCGAAAGGAGAAGGUCCAGGGUUCAACCCCCUGCAUGGGUG